CCUACGGGCGGCAGCAGUGAGGAAUAUUGGUCAAUGGGCGCGAGCCUGAACCAGCCAAGUAGCGUGAAUGAUGACUGCCCUACGGUUUUUAAACUUCUUUUAUAAAGGAAUAAAGUGAGGCACGUGUGCCUUUUUCUAUGUAUUUUAUGAAUAAGCAACGGCUAACUCCAUGCCAGCAGCCGCGGUAAUACGGGGGAUGCAAGCGUUAUCCAGUUUUAUUGGGUUUAAAGGGUGCGUAGGCUGUGAGGUAAGUCAGCGGGGAAAUGCCCCCGCUCAACGGGGUGAAGUGCCAUUGAUACUGCCUUGCUGGAGUGCGGAUGCCGUGGGAGGAAUGUGUGGUGUAGCGGUGAAAUGCAUAGAUAUCACACAGAACACCGAUUGCGAAGGCAUCUCACGAAUCCGCGAUUGACGCUGAUGCACGAAAGCGUGGGUAUCAAACAGGAUUAGAUACCCCAGUAGUC
RNAcentral lists this ribosomal RNA (461 nucleotides) under uncultured bacterium. Its description in RNAcentral is "partial 16S ribosomal RNA". It matches the Rfam family "Bacterial small subunit ribosomal RNA", at positions 338 to 795 of the family's 1533-position model. The record is from RNAcentral.